Molecule: ribosomal RNA, 429 nt
Filed under: uncultured bacterium
Lineage: Bacteria
Description: bacterial SSU rRNA
Rfam family: Bacterial small subunit ribosomal RNA
Source: RNAcentral
UCAGGCCUAACACAUGCAAGUCGAGGGGUAGAACAUUUCGGUGUUUGAGACCGGCGCACGGGUGCGUAACGCGUAUGCAACCUACCUUUUACAGGGGAAUAGCCCAGAGAAAUUUGGAUUAAUGCCCCAUGGUAUAUUUAGAUGGCAUCAUCUGAUUAUUAAAGUUCCAACGGUAAAAGAUGGGCAUGCGUCCUAUUAGCUAGAUGGUAAGGUAACGGCUUACCAUGGCAACGAUAGGUAGGGGUCCUGAGAGGGAGAUCCCCCACACUGGUACUGAGACACGGACCAGACUCCUACGGGAGGCAGCAGUGAGGAAUAUUGGACAAUGGGCGCAAGCCUGAUAGAGCCAUGCCGCGUGCAGGAAGAAGCAUCUAUGGUGUAAGAGUGCUUUUGUACGGGAAGAAGCACUCCUACGGUAGGAGCUGACGU